Long non-coding RNA from Cyprinus carpio (common carp), 672 nucleotides. The record is from Ensembl. NCBI's taxonomy places the organism in Eukaryota, Metazoa, Chordata, Actinopteri, Cypriniformes, Cyprinidae.
AUGAAGUCCUGGAAGAGUCACGUGCGGGCUGAGCUGUUUCUCAGAGACUGUAGGCAGAGAGAUCCUUUCUCUGGCCUUUUUGACAAGGUGUCCAGGCUAGAGGAGAUGCUGGCCUUUCACAUGAAACUCUGGCAAGACAUGGAAACAUGCAGUUCCAAAGAAAAAGGAAGCUCCAGAUGCCCAGAUGAAGGUGGCACCCUUUCUUUGAGAGUCAGUGAGCUGGAAUUUCUUAAUCAACAGCUCAAACAGGAAAUCUCAGAUCUGACCAGCAAUAUAUACCUGAAAGAGGCAGAGUUACAAUACUUUCACUCACUAGUUGCCCGCUACAGGACCGAAGCGGUUGUAUUGGCCAAGGGGGCUUUCUGUCUGAAGGCCAAUGUGGAGGAAUACGAGUAUCAGCUUGAGUGUCAAUCUAAGGAACUGACAGCACUGAGACUGGAGCACAGCUCACUGAGAGAAGAGCUGACUGCCGCAAACCUCCAGAACGAGCAGCUCCUCGAACGCUGGUUAGAGGAGAAGAAAGAGGAGGCUGAGAGGAUUAAUAAAUACAAUGCAAUACAAGAAAGGUGGCAAUGUUUGGCAGGUCGACUGAAGAAGCGGUCUCGUGUCAGAUCUCGUGUGCAGCCAACAGCAGCUCAGAAAUCAACCCCACAGAACGCCCUCCUUUCUUGA